GUCCGUGUGGCCUAAUGAUAAGGCAUUUCCCUCCGGAGGAAAAGAUUGCGGGUUCAAGUCCCGCCUCGGACU
Molecule: transfer RNA, 72 nt
Filed under: Blastocystis sp. ATCC 50177/Nand II
Lineage: Eukaryota; Bigyra; Opalinata; Blastocystidae
Description: Blastocystis sp. ATCC 50177 tRNA
Rfam family: tRNA
About the family: Transfer RNA (tRNA) molecules are approximately 80 nucleotides in length.
Source: Rfam by way of RNAcentral